GACGAACGCUGGCGGCGUGCUUAACACAUGCAAGUCGAACGCUGAAGCCCUUUCGGGGGUGGAUGAGUGGCGAACGGGUGAGUAACACGUGGGUAAUCUGCCCUGCACUCUGGGAUAAGCCUUGGAAACGGGGUCUAAUACCGGAUAGGACACAUCGCCGCAUGGGGUGUGUGUGGAAAGUUCCGGCGGUGCAGAGUUGAGCCCGCGGCCUAUCAGCGUGUUGGUGGGGUGAUGGCCUACCAAGGCGAAGCCGGGUAGCCGGCCUGAGAGGGUGGCCGGCCACACUGGGACGGCGACACGUCCCACACUCCUACGGGAGGCAGCAGUGGGGAAUCUUGCGCACUGGGCGAAAGCCUGACGCAGCAACGCCGCGUGGGGGAUGACGGCCGUCGGGUUGUAAAACUCUUUCGACCGGGACGAAGGGUGACUGACGGUACCGGUAGAAGAAGCACCGGCUAACUACGUGCCAGCCGCCGCCGUAA
Molecule: ribosomal RNA, 482 nt
Filed under: uncultured bacterium
Lineage: Bacteria
Description: partial 16S ribosomal RNA
Rfam family: Bacterial small subunit ribosomal RNA
Source: RNAcentral